This 449-nucleotide ribosomal RNA is filed under the name uncultured bacterium. RNAcentral describes it as "bacterial SSU rRNA". It matches the Rfam family "Bacterial small subunit ribosomal RNA", at positions 328 to 794 of the family's 1533-position model. The record is from RNAcentral.
GGACCAGACUCCUACGGGAGGCAGCAGUGGGGAAUAUUGCACAAUGGGGGGAACCCUGAUGCAGCGACGCCGCGUGGGUGAAGGAGAACUUCGGUACGUAAAGCCCUAUCAGCAGGAAAGAAAAUGACGGUACCUGACUAAGAAGCCCCGGCUAACUACGUGCCAGCAGCCGCGGUAAUACGUAGGGGGCAAGCGUUAUCCGGAUUUACUGGGUGUAAAGGGAGCGUAGACGGCAGUGCAAGUCGGGAGUGAAGGCCCGGGGCUCAACCCUGGGACUGCUCUGGAAACUGUAAAGCUGGAGUGCGGGAGGGGCAGGCGGAAUUCCGGGUGUAGCGGUGAAAUGCGUAGAUAUCAGGAGGAACACCGGCGGCGAGGGCGGCCUGCUGGACCGCGACUGACGUUGAGGCUCGAAAGCGUGGGGAGCAAACAGGAUUAGAUACCCGCGUACC